UACGGAGGGUGCAAGCGUUAUCCGGAUUUACUGGGUUUAAAGGGUGCGUAGGUGGAUUGGAAAGUUAGUGGUGAAAUACUACAGCGCAACUGUGGAACUGCCAUUAAUACUAUCAAUCUUGAAUACAGUGGAGGUGGGCGGAAUGUGUCAUGUAGCGGUGAAAUGCUUAGAUAUGACACAGAACACCAAUUGCGAAGGCAGCUUGCUACACUGUCAUUGACACUGAGGCACGAAAGCGUGGGGAUCAAACAGG
This 253-nucleotide ribosomal RNA is filed under the name uncultured bacterium. RNAcentral's name for it is "partial 16S ribosomal RNA". It matches the Rfam family "Bacterial small subunit ribosomal RNA", at positions 524 to 776 of the family's 1533-position model. The record is from RNAcentral.